UACGUAGGGUGCAAGCGUUAAUCGGAAUUACUGGGCGUAAAGCGUGCGCAGGCGGUUCGCUAAGACCGAUGUGAAAUCCCCGGGCUUAACCUGGGAACUGCAUUGGUGACUGGCGGGCUAGAGUAUGGCAGAGGGGGGUAGAAUUCCACGGUGUAGCAGUGAAAUGCGUAGAGAUGUGGAGGAAUACCGAUGGCGAAGGCAGCCCCCUGGGCCAAUACUGACGCUCAUGCACGAAAGCGUGGGGAGCAAACAGG
RNAcentral lists this ribosomal RNA (254 nucleotides) under uncultured bacterium. RNAcentral's name for it is "partial 16S ribosomal RNA". It matches the Rfam family "Bacterial small subunit ribosomal RNA", at positions 524 to 776 of the family's 1533-position model. The record is from RNAcentral.